GGGGGCGUGGGGUAGCUUGGUUAUCCUUCCGGCCUUGGGAGCCGGAGAUCGGAGGUUCAAAUCCUCCCGCCCUCA
This 75-nucleotide transfer RNA is filed under the name Nautiliaceae bacterium. RNAcentral describes it as "tRNA-Pro". It matches the Rfam family "tRNA". From Rfam's summary of the family: Transfer RNA (tRNA) molecules are approximately 80 nucleotides in length. Their secondary structure includes four short double-helical elements and three loops (D, anti-codon, and T loops). The record is from RNAcentral. Lineage: Bacteria; Pseudomonadati; Campylobacterota; Epsilonproteobacteria; Nautiliales; Nautiliaceae.